GCACAACGUUGGACAUAUGGAGUAAAAGUACUUUCAGGGAACUUCAAACAACAAAACAAGCAGGUUCUGUUUGACCAAAUUUUGCAGUUUUAUCACUUGAACUCUUCAGUGUUUGAGCAGAAAUUCAACUUCUCAAACUUCCAAAUAUUUCAGCAUCACAUCAGGUAUUUUGCUGCUGACAACAGAAGGAGCCAGCCUGAUAAUGCUGGGUCAGAUUCCUAUUCUGCUGCACCAUCCCAUCUCUGUCUGGUCCUACUUAAUCUGUGAGGGGCAGGGACAACCUGAUGCAAAGCUGCUCCCUCCACUGAUACUUGCUAUUACCUCUGCAGAGGUCAAGUGAUCCCCUCUCUUGACUAUGUAAGAGGAUACAAAAGUCACAAUGCCUUCCUCCCCAACCAUAUUU
Molecule: non-coding RNA, 403 nt
Organism: Phalacrocorax carbo (great cormorant)
Lineage: Eukaryota; Metazoa; Chordata; Aves; Suliformes; Phalacrocoracidae
Source: RefSeq, a predicted model, not a curated record